This 72-nucleotide transfer RNA is filed under the name Stegodyphus mimosarum. It matches the Rfam family "tRNA". From Rfam's summary of the family: Transfer RNA (tRNA) molecules are approximately 80 nucleotides in length. Their secondary structure includes four short double-helical elements and three loops (D, anti-codon, and T loops). The record is from Rfam by way of RNAcentral. Lineage: Eukaryota; Metazoa; Arthropoda; Arachnida; Araneae; Eresidae.
GCUUUCGUGUGUAGUGGUUAGCACGCUCGACGUGUAACCGGGAGGUCCGUGGUUAGAUUCCCGGCAAAGGCG